GUGGGGAAUUUUGGACAAUGGGCGAAAGCCUGAUCCAGCCAUGCCGCGUGCAGGAUGAAGGCCUUCGGGUUGUAAAGCUCUUUAGUCCACGAAUAUAAUGUCUGUAGUGGAAGAAUAAGCCCCGGCUAACUUCGUGCCAGCAGCCGCGGUAAUACGAAGGGGGCGAGCGUUAUUCGGAAUCACUGGGCGUAAAGCGUGCGUAGGCUGUUUUGUAAGUCAGAAGUGAAAGCCCAGGGCUUAACCCUGGAAUUGCUUUUGAAACUACAAGACUCGAAUUCGGGAGAGGAUAGCGGAAUUGUCAGUGUAGCAGUGAAAUGCGUAGAUAUUGACAGGAACACCAGUGGCGCAAGCGGCUAUCUGGACCGAUAUUGACGCUGAGGCACGAAAGCGUGGGGAGCAAACAGGAUUAGAAACCCGUGUAGUCC
This 425-nucleotide ribosomal RNA is filed under the name uncultured bacterium. RNAcentral describes it as "partial 16S ribosomal RNA". It matches the Rfam family "Bacterial small subunit ribosomal RNA", at positions 354 to 796 of the family's 1533-position model. The record is from RNAcentral.